Molecule: long non-coding RNA, 1678 nt
Organism: Felis catus (domestic cat)
Lineage: Eukaryota; Metazoa; Chordata; Mammalia; Carnivora; Felidae
Exons: 2
Source: RefSeq, a predicted model, not a curated record
UGUAUAAUGAUGUACUUAUAUACAUAAAACACCAACUUAUAGGCUAACAGCCAAAGCAUGAAAUAUGUAUGCAAGUUUCCCCUUAAGAAUAUGAACUAUGUAAUAAUACAGUUUACUUGUAGAAUCAUAGAAUUUUAGAUCUAGAAGGGCCCAAAUAGAACAACUUUUUCAACACUUUCAUCUUAAAGAUGAAGAAAUGUGGUGUUGAAAGCUCAGUUGACAGACUACUUCAAGAUCUGUUGAUCAUUCAGCUUAUUACUAAACUAAACAAGUCGAAGAUACACAAUAAGAAAGAGAACCAUAAAAUAUUUAAAAUAACUAGGAAAACAGGAGUUUAAUAAGCAACUUUGGGGUCUUCAAAAUAACCACCAAGCAUAUCAAAUUAGAAUAUGCUAUUCUCUUACUUUUUUCUUUUUUUUUUUUACAUUUUACCAUUCUCCAGUUUUAAGGCUUCAAUUAGCCAAUCAUUCACACUUAUUUUACUGUACACUUAAUAUAUGCAAGACACUUAGCUAGACAUCACAGAUGACCAAAAUUAUCUAAGACAUGACCCUGGUCCUUAAAUUACUUGCAGUAGCUGACCCUAAUCCACCUUUCCAAGUCUUGUCACCAUUCAUAUUCUGUUUUUGGCUUCUAGUCAGAUUAUAAUCUCCUGGAGGGCAGGGACAAUUUAUACUUCUCUGUAAACCCAGAAAUGCUCCCCAUCUUUUACAUUCCAAUGCACACAGAAAAAUUGCUAAGAUUUGUAUGUCAUGCUGGAGGAAACUCUCAAGGAUGCUAGUGGCUAGAAGUGCUUGUUCUGACCAGCCAUCCUGAGCUCUACUUGGCACCGUUAAAGCUGGAAGGAUCCAUAUCUUGGAACAUUUAUAAUCCAAAGAACAAACUUUGCACAGCACACCAGCUGUGUCCCAUAGUCCCUAUCAUCGUUCUAGACCACAGUAGGUACUCAACAAAUAUUUCUUGAGUUAAGAUAAUAGUACAUGGAAUGCAUUGCUGACAUUAGAAGAUGAAGUGAGCAAAGUAAGCGCCAGACCUCAACUUGAAAUAGCGUUACAAAUUUUAGAUUCAUAUACUAAAAAUUCCAAGUUACCCACAUCCUAUUUGCAGAAUUAAUGAACAAAUAACACUCCAGUUGGGAGGAGAUGCUUAAAAAGUAGCUCAGAGCUGUAUUGAGUUUAAAGACAAAGUAAUCCAUAAACAUCUAUAGUUAUGGAUGGGCUUGCUUCCCCCCACCCCCUGCAAAAAAAGAUAUGUUGAAGUCCUAACAUCCAGUACCUCAGAAUGCAACUUUAUUUGAACAUAAUUGCAGAUAAAAUCAGCCAAAUGAAGAUGAGGCCAUAUCGGAAUACAGGGCUCUUAAUCUAAUCUGACUACAGUUGUUAUAAGUAGACAGCCAUGCGAAGACACAGAGACACAGGGAGAACAUCACGCAACGUCAAAAGGCAGAGAAUGGAGUUACACAGCUGCAAACCAAGAAAUGCCAACCACUGCCAUCAAGCUUCCAAAAGCUAGGAAGAAAGAAGGAAAAUUUCAUAGGGAAAGUAGCCACUACCAACACCUUGAUUUUGGACUUCUAUCCUCCAGAACUGCAAGAGAAUAAUUUCCUGUUGAUUUAAGCCAUUUCACUUGUGGUACUGUGUUACAGCAGCCCUAGGAAAGAAUAAUCUAUCAAAAAUGU